Molecule: long non-coding RNA, 385 nt
Filed under: Salmo salar (Atlantic salmon)
Lineage: Eukaryota; Metazoa; Chordata; Actinopteri; Salmoniformes; Salmonidae
Description: lncRNA (ENSSSAG00000088637.1)
Source: RNAcentral
GUUGAAACUGGUUGCGAUGGGUGGCUAAAUCCGUCAUGACACCGUGUCUACAGUCAGAUCAAGGAGAUGGUCGCAUGCGGUUGGACACAUGGAGGAGAGAAUCAUUUUCGCAGUAUCCUCAAAACCGUGUCUUUUUGACACAACUGCUGACAGCUACAGGGAUAUAAACACAAAAAAUGCUGCUUGGAGACAAGUGUCCACGAUAGUAGGAUUGCCAGAAGACGAUUUUAGGAGGACAUGGAGAGGACUCAGGGACAGGUAUCAGAGAGAGAGAAGGGCAGAGAAAGAGAAGAAGAGGUCUGGGUCAGCAGCUUCAGGCCAGCAGCCUUGGCGCUUCUGCCACAUUCUUUUUUUUCUGGAUCCAUUUAUUGUGCCUAGGGCAACA